GCAGCUCUCAACCAUCACAACUUACCAGCCAGGGGACCUCGGGCUGGUGCCUCGACGUCUUCAGGUCCACAUCCCACCCAAACCCCAGGACCUCAGGCCUCUCUCUUGUGUCACCCGAAUGGGGAUCUGCAAGUUACAGAACACUACUGAGAUCUACCCAUCUGGAGCUCUCAAAAGGUUCAAAAAGUUUACCCUUCCUAGACCUUUCCUACACACGGGGAGACCAAGUCGCUGCAGAAAGCCUGAUGUGGCCCCUGUCCCUCCCUGAAUCUGCAAGUGGCCUGGGACAACCCAGAGAAGUUCCAUAAACAUUGGGUACCACA
RNAcentral lists this long non-coding RNA (323 nucleotides) under Rattus norvegicus (Norway rat). RNAcentral describes it as "long non-coding RNA NONRATT019188". The record is from RNAcentral. Lineage: Eukaryota; Metazoa; Chordata; Mammalia; Rodentia; Muridae.